Molecule: ribosomal RNA, 497 nt
Filed under: uncultured bacterium
Lineage: Bacteria
Description: partial 16S ribosomal RNA
Rfam family: Bacterial small subunit ribosomal RNA
Source: RNAcentral
GAUGAACGCUGGCGGCGUGCCUAAUACAUGCAAGUCGAGCGAACAGACGAGGAGCUUGCUCCUCUGACGUUAGCGGCGGACGGGUGAGUAACACGUGGAUAACCUACCUAUAAGACUGGGAUAACUUCGGGAAACCGGAGCUAAUACCGGAUAACAUAUUGAACCGCAUGGUUCAAUGGUGAAAGACGGUUUUGCUGUCACUUAUAGAUGGAUCCGCGCCGCAUUAGCUAGUUGGUAAGGUAACGGCUUACCAAGGCAACGAUGCGUAGCCGACCUGAGAGGGUGAUCGGCAACACUGGAACUGAGACACGGUCCAGACUCCUACGGGAGGCAGCAGUAGGGAAUCUUCCGCAAUGGGCGAAAGCCUGACGGAGCAACGCCGCGUGAGUGAUGAAGGUCUUCGGAUCGUAAAACUCUGUUAUUAGGGAAGAACAAAUGUGUAAGUAACUAUGCACGUCUUGACGGUACCUAAUCAGAAAGCCACGGCUAACUACGUG